Molecule: long non-coding RNA, 279 nt
Organism: Acanthochromis polyacanthus (spiny chromis)
Lineage: Eukaryota; Metazoa; Chordata; Actinopteri; Pomacentridae
Exons: 3
Source: RefSeq, a predicted model, not a curated record
AGGAAGUCACACAAACAGGUAGAGUUAAAACAGCCGUGGUGUGAAAUUAUCCACAGCUCAGGGUCAACAUGUCUGCAGAUGGGACCAAGUUGUUAUUCGAGAGCUUUCUGCAGAAAAGAAAGGACACUCUGAAGAUAAUGUGGGUCACUUAUUGGUUCAGACUCCAGAACACCACCUUGUUCUUCUACACCAAGAAGAACGGCAGUGCUUCACACCUGAGAGGAUAUUACUACAUCUACACAGUGAGUCCUGCACUCUGUAUUACAGCUCAGACAUGGG